This 524-nucleotide ribosomal RNA is filed under the name uncultured bacterium. Its description in RNAcentral is "partial 16S ribosomal RNA". It matches the Rfam family "Bacterial small subunit ribosomal RNA", at positions 28 to 523 of the family's 1533-position model. The record is from RNAcentral.
GACGAACGCUGGCGGCGUGCUUAACACAUGCAAGUCGAACGAGACGAUUGAAAGCUUGCUUUCGAAAGUCGAGUGGCAAACGGGUGAGUAACGCGUAGACAACCUGCCUUUGAGAUGGGGACAACAGUUCGAAAGGACUGCUAAUACCGAAUGUUGUAUAUUUUCCACAUGGAAGAUAUAUUAAAGAUGGCCUCUAUUUAUAAGCUAUCGCUCAAAGAUGGGUCUGCGUCUGAUUAGCUGGUUGGUGGGGUAACGGCCUACUAAGGCGACGAUAAGUAGCCGGUCUGAGAGGAUGAACGGCCACAUUGGGACUGAGACACGGCCCAGACUCCUACGGGAGGCAGCAGUGGGGAAUCUUCCACAAUGGACGAAAGUCUGAUGGAGCAACGCCGCGUGAGUGAAGAAGGGUUUCGGCUCGUAAAGCUCUGUUGUCGGGGACGAAUGUGCAGUAUUUGAAUAAAGUACUGUAAUGACGGUACCUGACGAGGAAGCCACGGCUAACUACGUGCCAGCAGCCGCGGUAA